RNAcentral lists this long non-coding RNA (576 nucleotides) under Homo sapiens (human). RNAcentral's name for it is "HSALNT0204710". The record is from RNAcentral. Lineage: Eukaryota; Metazoa; Chordata; Mammalia; Primates; Hominidae.
GGUCUGCAAUACUUGAAAUGAAGGUAUCAGCUGGGCUGUGUUCUUAUCUGGAAGCCAGACUAGAGAAGGAUCCAUUUCUCCAGCCUGUGACAGAUAUGUGUUGUCUCUGAAACUGUAUGUGGAUAUCAGUGAAAGAAGAGGAGAGGUGUCAUGUCAGCACAGGACAAAAGGCAUGACUCAUGAAUGGUUUAUGUGACCUAAUUUAGGCCAUAGAGGUCCAGACGUGGGGGACCUCUCCAUUGUUGGAAAGCUAUGAUUUAUCUUCUCCUGCAUGGGAAGCUUUGAGAAGAAAUGUUCCAUUUGUUGAAGUAUUACGAAAGAGAGCUCUGAUCAAGAGGAAGAGACUUCAAACUAUGAAAUUUGAAACAGAAAUAUCAAAAAUUUUCACUGACUGAACUGUAUCUCUGGAGAGAUUUCAGGAGUCCUUUGAAGGAACCUGCCAGAAAGAGGAAAAUACUUGACCAGUAUAACCUCAAAAAAGAAGAAACACUGAGCUGGGUCAUGCUCUCUGCUCUCUGCUAAGUGAGGAAACAAUGAUAAAUCAGUCAACUGCAAACCUGGAGGAGUGCCCUCACC